GGCCCACGUACAUCUAGGGGAAAAAGUACACCGAAUGUCCCUCAACUUGUCAUCGAGUUACAAAAUCGUCCCCUAACCGCAAAACCGAUACAACGCAUCCUCCAACUUAUAAAACCACUACAAACUAGGUCCCUCGGUGGUUUUGACCCCGGUUUUAUAUGACGUGUCGGCUGAGUCAGCGUGGGACCCACGUGGGCCCCACAUGUCAGAAUGCAACAUCAGCAAGGUCUCUCUCCCCUGCCACGUCAGCAAGGUCUGUCUUCCCUCUCCCUUCCUCUCUCUAAUCUCUAUCUCACUCUUCUCUCUGGGCAGGCCGUCCGGUGGUGGGGAGGAGGUCCGACGGCCGGCCGGCAAUGCGGGAGAAGGGGCGACGCGGCGGCGGUGGGCCGGGAGCAGGCAGGAACCGCGGCGGUAGGCGCAGGGGCGACGGAGGAUGGAGGAGGACGGUCGGAGCGAAGCUCAACGAUGCGAGUCCUGUGACGAGCAGCCACUUGCGAUAGGGGCGACGACGCUCGGGCAUUCCCAGAUUGGCCCGGCACGACUGCCGCUCUGAUUGAGACCAGUGGAGGCGGCUCCGGUGUGAUUUGGUGGCGAGUAAGGACGGAGCGAGCUCUGCCUCUAUGUGGCGGGGCUAGGGUCUUCUAGCGACGAGGCGGCUUAGGGUGAGAAGCCCGUGGGCGGCUGAUGGGGAGAAGAGGUUGUUGCUGAGCUUGCUCGAGCGGGCGGCCGCGGGCGGCAUCAUGGUUGGGACUUGGGGGCGCGGCUAGGCGAGGGAGAAGGUUGUUGUCGAGCUUGUAUGCUGUUAGAGAAAGGAGAGAGAAAAUGAAAUCAUGUAGCUCGAAUUUGUAUGCUGUUAUUUGAUAGUAUCUGCAGGUUCUGAAGAGUUCCUGGAGCUUAUUAAGAGUGCGCUUCUGGCAGCACUAGAAGGUUACUGUUUUGAACGCUUGAAACUUACUGAAUUAUUGGUUGCUUGAACUGCGAAUUGUGAGCGAGUAUAAUUUAUGUUGCUCCUCAGUUGUCUUUUUCUCUAUGCAACAGCUCUGAUUCCAGGCUCCCUGUUUAGACAGUAUGAUGUACAAGGUCCAAUUCCAGUUGUAAAAGAUGUUUUUAUCCCUCCAGACACAGAAGAAGAUGGGCUGCCUGCUGCCCUUGAAGAUGCCAUGCCUCUAAUUUCAUUUUUGGCCCCUCUAUGUAAGAAGUGUUACAGUUUGUUUAGUCAAUUUGAACAUGUAAUAAUGACAAAGAUAAAUUUACAAGCAGAUCGACACAUGCAAAGAUCGAA
Oryza sativa Japonica Group (Japanese rice) is the source of this 1282-nucleotide non-coding RNA. Lineage: Eukaryota; Viridiplantae; Streptophyta; Magnoliopsida; Poales; Poaceae. The record is from RefSeq and is a predicted model, not a curated record.